GACGAACGCUGGCGGCGUGCUUAACACAUGCAAGUCGAACGGAAAGGCCCUGCUUUUGUGGGGUUCUCGAGUGGCGAACGGGUGAGUAACACGUGAGUAACCUGCCCUUGACUUUGGGAUAACUUCAGGAAACUGGGGCUAAUACCGGAUAGGAGCUCCUGCUGCAUGGUGGGGGUUGGAAAGUUUCGGCGGUUGGGGAUGGACUCGCGGCUUAUCAGCUUGUUGGUGGGGUAGUGGCUUACCAAGGCUUUGACGGGUAGCCGGCCUGAGAGGGUGACCGGCCACAUUGGGACUGAGAUACGGCCCAGACUCCUACGGGAGGCAGCAGUGGGGAAUAUUGCACAAUGGGCGGAAGCCUGAUGCAGCAACGCCGCGUGCGGGAUGACGGCCUUCGGGUUGUAAACCGCUUUCGCCUGUGACGAAGCGUGAGGGACGGUAAUGGGUAAAGAAGCACCGGCGAACUACGU
This 467-nucleotide ribosomal RNA is filed under the name uncultured bacterium. Its description in RNAcentral is "partial 16S ribosomal RNA". It matches the Rfam family "Bacterial small subunit ribosomal RNA", at positions 28 to 506 of the family's 1533-position model. The record is from RNAcentral.